CAGUAGCCGCGGGAAUACAGAGGGUGCGAGCGUUAAUCGGAUUUACUGGGCGUAAAGCGUGCGUAGGCGGCUAAUUGAGUCGGAUGUGAAAUCCCCGAGCUUAACUUGGGAAUUGCAUUCGAUACUGGUUAGCUAGAGUGUGGGAGAGGAUGGUAGAAUUCCAGGUGUAGCGGUGAAAUGCGUAGAGAUCUGGAGGAAUACCGAUGGCGAAGGCAGCCAUCUGGCCUAACACUGACGCUGAGGUACGAAAGCAUGGGGAGCAAACAGGAUUAGAGACCCCAGUAGUCCCUGUCUCUUAUAC
This 301-nucleotide ribosomal RNA is filed under the name uncultured bacterium. RNAcentral's name for it is "partial 16S ribosomal RNA". It matches the Rfam family "Bacterial small subunit ribosomal RNA", at positions 509 to 807 of the family's 1533-position model. The record is from RNAcentral.